RNAcentral lists this ribosomal RNA (311 nucleotides) under Potamonautes langi. Its description in RNAcentral is "partial 16S ribosomal RNA". Lineage: Eukaryota; Metazoa; Arthropoda; Malacostraca; Decapoda; Potamonautidae. The record is from RNAcentral.
UUUUUAAUUGGGAUCUUGUAUGAAUGAUUGAACAAAAGAAAACCUGUCUUUAUAUUAAAUUUUGAAUUUAACUUUUAAGUGAAAAGGCUUAAAUGUUCUAAAGGGACGAUAAGACCCUAUAAAACUUUACAUUAAUAAUUAAUUUUUUUUUAAUUUUUAUUAUAACUAUUAAUUUAGUUUUUAUUGUUUUAUUGGGGAGAUGUAAGCUAUAAUUUGUGUUAACUGCUUAAUAAAGAAUCAAUAGUUUAUGAGUGGUUAUUAAAAGAUCCUUUAUAAAGAUUAAAAGAUUAAGUUACUUUAGGGAUAACAGA